AUUGAACGCUGGCGGCAGGCCUAACACAUGCAAGUCGAACGAGUGGCGGACGGGUGAGUAAUGUCUGGGAAACUGCCUGAUGGAGGGGGAUAACUACUGGAAACGGUAGCUAAUACCGCAUACCAUCAGAUGUGCCCAGAUGGGAUUAGCUUGUUGGUGGGGUAACGGCUCACCAAGGCGACGAUCCCUAGCUGGUCUGAGAGGAUGACCGGCAACACUGGAACUGAGACACGGUCCAGACUCCUACGGGAGGCGGCAGGGGGGAAUAUUGGACAAUGGGGACAAGCCUGAUGCGGCCAGGCCGGGGAGAUGAAGAGGGCCUUCGGGUUGUAAAGUACUUUCAGCGGGGAGGCGUUACCCGCAGAAGAAGCACCGGCUAACUCCGUGCCAGCCGCCGCGGUAAUAC
RNAcentral lists this ribosomal RNA (406 nucleotides) under uncultured bacterium. RNAcentral's name for it is "partial 16S ribosomal RNA". It matches the Rfam family "Bacterial small subunit ribosomal RNA", at positions 29 to 526 of the family's 1533-position model. The record is from RNAcentral.